GCGUCAUAGAGGGUGAGAAUCCCGUCUUUGGCACGGAAACCCCAGGGCUUUUGUGAUGCGCUCUCGAAGAGUCGAGUUGUUUGGGAAUGCAGCUCAAAAUGGGUGGUGAACUCCAUCUAAAGCUAAAUAUUGGCGAGAGACCGAUAGCGAACAAGUACCGUGAGGGAAAGAUGAAAAGCACUUUGGAAAGAGAGUGAAACAGUACGUGAAAUUGUUGAAAGGGAAACGCUUGAAGUCAGUCGCGUCGACCGAGACUCAGCCUUGCCCUUGGCUUGGUGUACUUCUCGGCUGACGGGUCAGCAUCAAUUUUGCCCCUUGGAUAAUGGCGAGGGAAAUGUGACACCUUUACGGUGUGUUAUAGUCUCUUGUCGCAUGCAAGGGUUGGGAUUGAGGAACUCAGCACGCACCUUGGGUGUCGGGGCUUUGCCCACGAUACGUGCUUAGGAUGUUGGCGUAAUGGCUUUAAACGACCCGUCUUGAAACACGGACCAAGGAGUCUAACAUGCCUGCGAGUGUUCGGGUGGAAAACUCGUGCGCGCAAUGAAAGUGAAAGUUGGGACCUCUGUCGUGGAGGGCACCGACGCCCGGACCAGACCUUCUGUGACGGCUCUGCGGUAAAGCAUGUAUGUUAGGACCCGAAAGAUGGUGAACUAUGCCUGAAUAGGGUGAAGCCAGAGGAAACUCUGGUGGAGGCUCGUAGCGAUUCUGACGUGCAAAUCGAUCGUCAAAUUUGGGUAUAGGGGCGAAAGACUAAUCGAACCAUCUAGUAGCUGGUUCCU
Molecule: ribosomal RNA, 779 nt
Filed under: uncultured Russula
Lineage: Eukaryota; Fungi; Basidiomycota; Agaricomycetes; Russulales; Russulaceae
Description: partial 28S ribosomal RNA
Rfam family: Eukaryotic large subunit ribosomal RNA
Source: RNAcentral